RNAcentral lists this ribosomal RNA (393 nucleotides) under Kurixalus verrucosus (small rough-armed tree frog). RNAcentral describes it as "partial 12S ribosomal RNA". It matches the Rfam family "Bacterial small subunit ribosomal RNA", at positions 794 to 1401 of the family's 1533-position model. Lineage: Eukaryota; Metazoa; Chordata; Amphibia; Anura; Rhacophoridae. The record is from RNAcentral.
GCCAAGCCGUAAAUUAACUUACACCUACCAACGCCAGGGAAUUACGAGUUUCAACUUAAAACCCAAAGGACUUGACGGUAUCCCACCCCACUAGAGGAGCCUGUCCUAUAAUUGAUGAUCCCCAAUAUACCCUACCAUUCCUCGUUUAUCAGUCUGUAUACCGCCGUCGUAAGUUUACCGUGUGAACGCACAACAGUAAGCCCAAGGACUUCCCCGCCACAACGUCAGGUCAAGGUGCAACUUAUGUAAUGGAAAGUGAUGGGCUACAAUUUCUAAUAUAGAACAUACGAAAAACUACAUGAAACAUAGUCAUGAAGGUGGAUUUAGUAGUAAAUAAGGAAUAGAGAGCCUUAUUAAACCCGGCCCUGGGAUGUGUACACACCGCCCGUCACC